CUUCUUUCCUUCCACAGCAAAAAAAAAAAAGGCUCGUACCACUCUUUUACAAUACUCCUACAGACUCAGUAUUUUGAUUAACAAUUCUACAAGCAGGAACCACUUUCUGCAGCAUAGAUGUCCCUUUGAAGGUCACCAUCUGACAGCAGCUUUUUCUAUAUUUGCUAAGCUGGUCUGGUUUUAUCUUUUGAAAACCAAAUUUAUCAGUCCAUAUAGAUUCUGCUUCUUCAGCAGCUGGGAGCACAAGGCUCUGAACAUUUAAAAAAGCC
This 269-nucleotide unclassified non-coding RNA is filed under the name Hevea brasiliensis (rubber tree). The record is from RNAcentral. Lineage: Eukaryota; Viridiplantae; Streptophyta; Magnoliopsida; Malpighiales; Euphorbiaceae.